CAGCCGCCGCGGUAAAACCAGCACCUCAAGUGGUCAGGAUGAUUAUUGGGCCUAAAGCAUCCGUAGCCGGCUCUGUAAGUUUUCGGUUAAAUCUGUACGUUUAACGUACAGGCUGCCGGGAAUACUGCAAAGCUAGGGAGUGGGAGAAGUAGACGGUACUCGGUAGGAAGUGGUAAAAUGCUUUGAUCUAUCGAUGACCACCUGUGGCGAAGGCGGUCUACUAGAACACGUCCGACGGUGAGGGAUGAAAGCUGGGGGAGCAAACCGGAUUAGAUACCCGGGUAGUCCCAGCUGUAAACUAUGCAAACUCAGUGAUGCAUUGGCUUGUGGCCAAUGCAGUGCUGCAGGGAAGCCGUUAAGUUUGCCGCCUGGGAAGUACGUACGCAAGUAUGAAACUUAAAGGAAUUGGCGGGGGAGCAC
This 420-nucleotide ribosomal RNA is filed under the name uncultured Nitrososphaerota archaeon. RNAcentral's name for it is "bacterial SSU rRNA". It matches the Rfam family "Archaeal small subunit ribosomal RNA", at positions 459 to 879 of the family's 1478-position model. The record is from RNAcentral. Lineage: Archaea; Thermoproteati; Nitrososphaerota.